Long non-coding RNA from Brassica napus (rape), 952 nucleotides. RefSeq lists it as uncharacterized. The record is from RefSeq and is a predicted model, not a curated record. The transcript has 5 exons. NCBI's taxonomy places the organism in Eukaryota, Viridiplantae, Streptophyta, Magnoliopsida, Brassicales, Brassicaceae.
ACGCGAAGAGAAGUGCCUCUAACCCUAAACGAAGAAGAUUGUCUCCCUUCUCCUGUUACGGUGACCAUAAAACUUUUCCGAUUCUUCCACCAUCUGAAACGUUUUGCGUAAAAGCUUCGUGAUUAAUCACAUUGAUUCGCUCUCCCACUACGUCUUCUUCAAUGCUACGUUUCGAUAUGAUAUGCGGCGAUCUCCGUAUAAAUAUGUGGUUUUUUUCUCCGAUCUGGGUCAGAUGUGAAUUCGACCAUGAAGCAAGCGACCAUGAUAUAUCUCUAAUCAUAACUUUUUGCUAUCUCCACAUCUCUCUGCUACUCAUCUCUCUGCUAUCUCCACAACUUUCCAAAAGCUUUAGAGAGAUCUAAAAAUCUCGACAGCCAUGGAACUACCAAAUCCCAGAGGAUUAUGAUCCAGCCAAUCAAACUUCGAAUCCAUAUUUGGCUAUUUGACCGGAAAGAUUUGAAGACUGAAGAAAUAAUUAAUUGUUCAGGAAUUCAUGGUGUUUUUUGUGCGGCUGAAUUCAUGUAGUACAAAUACUACUGAGUAAUUUCAUCAACACACUACUGAGGAAUUCAUGGUGUUCUUUGUUCAGAAAGUUGUUUCACAUUUUAUUUUUCUUGCAUAUUCAAUUCAUGUCCACGGGCCACUAGACUAACUUAAGGUUAUGUUCUUGAUUCAUCUGUCCCCUUCACAUUAUGUAUCUGAGGUUGAUCAAAAUUACAUGUUUAUGGUGACAAGACCUAGGUCUUGAUGCCCGCAUAAGCUACAUAGAUGGUGCUUAUGAUACUUUUCAGCUGGCCACACUAAGCUAUAUGUUAAUUUAGUGCAGGCAUAUUAAUCUUUAUGUUUUUCAUUUUCCCUGUUUUUUGUUGAUAGAAUUUGAGCGCUAAUAUGUAUUUGACUACAUAGAUCUUCAAAACUAUAUUUUUGAAACGAGAAGAGAGUUUAUUUUUAA